AGAAUUGCUUGUAUCCUCCUUCUGGAGCCAGUGUGUACGACUCCACAGAGCAUUUGGAUUACACUCCUCCGAAUGCUGAAGGAAAAACGCUCAAAAUCUCAUUCUUCAGGGGGAAGCGUUGCCACUCCGAGGUGCCCACUGGGAACGAAUCCCAAAGCCACGAGCGCCUGCCUAGUGGGGAAUGUGAACUGUUAUCCUGAGAGUCGUCCUUCUCUCUCCCUGGUCCAGGACAGAAAAUACUGAAUAGACAGGAAUUUCUGAAGUCUAAACGCCUCCAAUGAUAACAGGAGUGUUAUUGGAAAGGGAACAAGCGAGAAGACACAGUCUUCGAGGAGUUAAGUUUUGCUAAUCUAAUGAUGAGACUGCAUUCAUGAAGACUGAGUGAAGACUUUAUUGCACCAUCACAUCACUAAGGUUUUUCUCCAACAUGAACAUUCUGAUGAAGUCGAAGGCUUGAGGCCUGACUAAAGCACAUAUCACACUCCCUACACUUCCAUGUUUUCUCUCCCAUGUGGACCCUCUGAUGCAUAUCAAGAUUCAAGCGCCUGUUGUAGCCCUUCCCACAGUCCUCACAUUUGUAUGGCUUUUCUACACUGUGAACUUUUUCUUGCACUUUAGAGAAUGAAUUCUGUACAAUGUUCUUCCCAUGCUGCUCACAUUUGAGAGGUGUUUCUCUGCUGUGGCGUCUCUGAUGGGUCAGACGAGUUGAGGACCAGCUGAAGCCCUUCCCACACUCAUCACAUUUGUAUGGCUUUUCUCCAGUGUGCACUCUUUGAUGAGAAUGAAGCUGUGAAUUCUGAGUAAAUCUUUUCCCACACUCUUCACAUUUGAAUGGUUUUUCUCCACUGUGCAGUCUCUGAUGUUUCAAAAGACACGAGGCCCAGCCAAAACUCUUCCCACAUUCCUUACAAUUGUAUGGUCUCUCUCCUGUGUGGACCUUCUGGUGCAUAUC
RNAcentral lists this long non-coding RNA (952 nucleotides) under Homo sapiens (human). RNAcentral describes it as "non-protein coding lnc-ZNF235-4:4". Lineage: Eukaryota; Metazoa; Chordata; Mammalia; Primates; Hominidae. The record is from RNAcentral.